RNAcentral lists this ribosomal RNA (433 nucleotides) under uncultured bacterium. Its description in RNAcentral is "partial 16S ribosomal RNA". It matches the Rfam family "Bacterial small subunit ribosomal RNA", at positions 29 to 507 of the family's 1533-position model. The record is from RNAcentral.
AACGAACGCUGGCGGCAUGCCUAACACAUGCAAGUCGAACGAGACCUUCGGGUCUAGUGGCGCACGGGUGCGUAACGCGUGGGAACCUGCCCUUAGGUUCGGAAUAACUCCCCGAAAGGGGUGCUAAUACCGGAUAAUGUCUUCGGACCAAAGAUUUAUCGCCUUUGGAUGGGCCCGCGUUGGAUUAGCUAGUUGGUAGGGUAAAAGCCUACCAAGGCGACGAUCCAUAGCUGGUCUGAGAGGAUGCUCAGCCACACUGGGACUGAGACACGGCCCAGACUCCUACGGGAGGCAGCAGUGGGGAAUAUUGGACAAUGGGCGAAAGCCUGAUCCAGCAAUGCCGCGUGAGUGAUGAAGGCCUUAGGGUUGUAAAGCUCUUUUACCCGGGAUGAUAAUGACAGUACCGGGAGAAUAAGCGCCGGCUAACUCCGUG